AAAGGAUUCCAGAAGGAUGUGACCGCAUGUGUUCCCCCGGACCACGCAGCGGGUGCAGGGCGGCGUCGGACUCCGUCUUCUUGAUCACCUGCACCAGUUGCGCAUGCUCCGUGACCAGCUGCCGCAGAUCUGCCAUCUUUUGCAGGAGUUUCGGGAAGAGAAAGACGUCGUCGGGAUGGUUGCUCUGUGCUCGGUUUCAACAAUAUUUAAGGAGUGUGAUUGUGUUUGACUUCGGUUUUGUGGUAUAAAGCACCGUUACAGGUACCUUCCAACGUAAGUCAGCUGAAAAGAAGGUGGAGCCAGAAAUGAAUGGGAGGACGGAUACGGGAGGAUGCUGAGGAUGGAUACGGGAGGAUGCUGAGGAUGGAUACGGGAGGAUGCUGAGGACAUCUCUUGGACUAGCACAGACUGGCUACACAAUUUGCAGGGCCCAGUGCAAAAUGACAAUGUGGGGUCCCUUAUUCGAAAGUGCUUACGAAUUUCAAGACAGCGACAGAGCACUACACGUCAGCACAAGGCCCUCUAAGCAGGGGCGUUGUGAAGCUGGACACACGCCCAGGACGCUGGCCCUGGACUAUUUUUAUGUGGAACAUUCUCUCAUAAACGGAGACUUCAAUGGUAAGAAAUAUUUCAUUUCAUGUGUAUAAAAUUAUCGCCUGGAUUUUAAAAGGCAGGCCUCAUGAACAGGCAAAAUUAGAAACGCUCUGAAUUCAAAACAAGUGCUAACAUUUGAAAAAUCAUGUUUAUUACAGCCAAAGAGAUAUUAUAGGGUGACGCCCUUGAAAGUCUGCCAGCCUUCAUUGAGAAGCAUUCUUGAUUAGACUAUUUUAAAAAUCCAGAAGCUUAUGUUUAACUUGGGAAUAUUUUCUUUAUCCUCAAGCUUGACUAUGAAUAUAUCUGAUGUUACGGGUGGUCAUGUCCAAUCGGUGAAGCACGCUGUAAAGCUUUUAAACGGCACAAGGCAGAAAGAUGCCACUUGCCCCCAAAACCACUCCGCGCCAGGACCAGAAGUCUCCCCUGACUGAUAGGCAUUUCCCUCGCUCACGCCUGACACUGCUCUACGUGCGUUAAUGAUGUUAUAAGAAUUCAUCUCCAAAACACAUCAGAACAGCAUUUCCUAUGAAAAGUUCGGCAGCAGCAUCUUUUCGGAGAAAUUUAAUUGUGACUUAUUGGUAGAACUGCUUUGGAUGAAGUGAUCUAAUAAGCUCUUGGGUAGGUUUUACUACACACUUCUAGAUAUAGUACAAAAUAGUAUGUUUUUCAAGCUACUGACAAGUUAUAGGUAUAAUAUUUCAAUAUAACACAGCAGGCCAAACCCCACGGUGUGGUGUGAGGGGGCUGCCAUUCCAGGAUGCCGCCCCUCCCGGCAGCUCUGUCUCUGACCCAGCACAGAUGGAGCAGAGACUGUGGCCCCAAGCUGCGCGCUCCAAGCUCUGGGGUGCAUUAGGCUGGGCGGGGAGGUAGGAGGAGGGCCAUGCUUCAACAUACAGAGGAAAUGGGGUGGGAAGUGAACCCAGCUUGGAGCAAACAGUGCCGUCAAAGGCAGUGGCUGGCCCUGGACGCUCCCUUUCAAACUGGUACCCGCGAUGCUCUGCUUCGGAGGUGGGCAGAAGCAAGCAAUUGACUCUCAGCAACACCCCGAAUUCUGUUUUUCCUCUCCAGUGACGCCCAGUGCUGGACUAUGGGUCUAUCAUUUAUUUCCUUAAGACCAAAAGCCAGAUUCCUCUCCCAGAGUAACUGUGUGAUGGCCCUCAACGGUCCAGAUUUCAACUCUGGCCGCGGGUGAUGGGCUCCUGCUUAGAGUGCGUGGAUCUCAGUGGGGUGUGAGACGGAUACUCCAGGGAAAUCGACUUAAUAUUAAACGAGUGUUUGGUUCCGAGUCAAGAUGACUUUUAAGUUUGCUUUGCUUUGCAUUCUGAAAACCCAAGGGAGAUGGAGAAGAACUCAGCAAGAUCUAAAAGGAUUCCAAGAGAGCAAAAAUCGGGGUUGCUUUAAUUUGGGGCUAUACGAAUCAUUUCCAGGAUAGAAAUUCAAAGGUAAGAGAUUACUUUGCUUUUACCCUUGUGAUCUGGAAAGGGUUAGGGUGGAGUUUCUUGGAGCCUCUGGGGCCGCCCAGCAUGGGUGUGGCUUUAUGAUUUAACAAGAGUUUGCUUGAACCCUCCUAAAUUACCUCAGCCUAUUGAAUUGGAAAAUUCACGGCAGAAUGAAAAGACUCAGUAAAAAAGAGGUUUGGUUUGUUCAUGAAGGUAAGUAGCUUGUGAGAUGCUUUAUUUUCCUGUGACUGAAAAUUCCAGCUUGUAAUUCCCAAUAAAGAUGGCUUCAAGCUACUCAUUAGGACAAAUGAAACCUGUUUCACCACUCUCCCAGGAGAAAGGCAAAACGUCUUCAUUCGCCAGCCUUGGGCCAUCCCCCUCUUUGAAGGUAGCUCUGAGAUUAGGCCUGUAAUGGAGACAGAGGCUUAGCUAACUGUGGGGUGGGUACAGGGUGGAAUCAGGCAGGAGAGGCGAAGUGUAGGCGUCCACAAGGGGCGAUCUUAGUUGCUACCGAGAAGGUCCAGGACUGUCCCAAAAGACAAUAAAGUUUCUGUAAACAAAGGACCCUUUCUAAGCCCCGAGAUGUCAUUUCCUUCUCAUUGGAGAAAAAGAAGGUGGGCAGGGGGUAGGAAGGGGGAGGUCGGAGAGGAGAAGGUAGUUUUAGGGGGAAAGGAUGUGAGAGCACACUUUGAGAGGGAAGUGAAUAGUUUCAUUUUCUGGCAUUAAAAUAGGGAUUAAAACAAACUCACUUAAGAAGCAACCCUAGAAUCUGGUAAACUAUUAACCAGACUUUGAGUGCAUUAAUUACAGAGUCAUUAUAAGAACUUGGUUGCUAGGAGCUCUGAGGUGGAUCAAAUGGGAUGGGAGUUGCUGCUGGGCUACGUUUUAUAGUCUCUGAAGGAAAUGUUUCCAUUGCAUUGUCUCCCAUUUGCGCUGGGGAUAAAUAUGAUUUUCUCAGCAUUUAGGACAUACUUCCUCAAUCCUCCUCCUCGACUCUAGCUGACGUGUUGCCCAAGAAGCACUUCAGAUGAUAAUAACCAGCGACAAAGCCACCUACCGGAUUGUUGCUGGCCUUUCCCGCGAGGAUGACCCGGGCCUUAACCUUGUUCAUGUUGAAGUUCUUCAAGUAGGCCUCGUAAAUCCUCUUAGCGAGAGAUUUGAGAUCUGCGGUUUCAGAAUUUUUUUCUAGGUCAUGUUCACAUGUAAGGAUUUCUGCUUUCAAUUUUGCUUUUUCCGAUCUUGGCAUUCGUCCAAAACGAAUCGCUGGGGGUCGGAGAGGAGAAACGGAAGAACGGAAAACACAGAGAAAUGAACAACAAAACACGGCACGAGGACUAAUGGCUGGAUGAAAGGUUCACACCACGGGUUAGACUGUGAGCAAACAUGCAUGGUACGCGGGCCUCUCACUGCUGCGGCCUCUCCCGUUGCGGAGCACAGGUUCCAGACACGCAGGCUCAGCGGCCAUGGCUCACGGGCCCAGCCGCUCCGCGGCAUGUGGGAUCUUCCCAGACCAGGGCACGAACCCGUGUCCCCUGCAUCGGCAGGCGGACUCUCAACCACUGCGCCACCAGGGAAGCCCCUAUUGUCUUUUUUUAAAUGAACGAAAUGUAGAGAAACAGUUUAUCUAGAAAGUCUGAUGUAAUUGGGGCAAAUUGGAAAUUGGAAAUUUCAUUACAUGUAAAAUGAAAAACAAUAAAAUGAGGCAAAAGUCAAAGUAAUUUCAACACGUCCUCACCUGGCCUGGGAAGACACAAUCACAGUCUCCUGAAGAGUGACUCUGCCUUGCUAAGAUUUAUACAAAUGUGACUUUCUCUUCUGAGGACAGAUCCAUAUUUGUGACUAAAAAGUUCUAAGAAUUUUUGUAAGAGAAUAUUAACUCUCUAAAGGACAAAGAUUAUAUAAUAAAAGGAAGCCAGCUGGUUGUAAAUAAUUUUCUCUUUAUAAAAGUGUCUUAGGGACUUCUCUGGCAGCCCACUGGUUAGGCCUUAGCGCUUCCCCUGCAGGGGGCAUGGGUUCCGUCCCUGGUGGGGGAACUAAGAUCACGUGUGCCGCGUGCUAAGGCACAACCAAAACAAAACAAAAACAAAAACAAACAAAUAAAAAGAUCUUAAACUUUACUUUAGUAAAGAACCAACUUUACUAUUUAGUUCAUAAAAAAACAAAAGUAAACCAAGGUGACUAACCAUGGCCCUGCAGAAAAGGCCACUUUGCAAGUAGUUUUUUCAAGGUAUGUGGCUGGCCAAUUGUGAGGGUUUAUAUUUACACUGGCUCUUUCCUCUUUGCUUUCCGGUCAUCCUUCCGUAGUUCUGCUGGAGGACACGGCCUGACCCCCUGCACCGCGGGCUCUGGGUCACCUCUGGUUAGAGGUCCAGCUGAGCUGGCACAAGAAUAAGGAUAUACACGAGGGUGCUCGGGUGGACAGGCCCCCGGCGUGCAGGAAGGGGCUGCCGGGGAGGACACAGCCGCGGGGCUGGUCGUCGCCCAGCACGUGCUGCAGGAUCCUGACAUCUCUGACGGUCGUGAGAACCCUUGCCCUCCGUGACCUUCUGAUGAGGGUGGAGAGAGAAAGUGGACAAAACUCUCUGACCUCGCAUCCAGAUGAAGGGAGCAUCUUUAAUGUGGUUUAUUUUCUGUUAAAGAACACACCCUCUACGUCACUUACAAAGAACAGCCCAGCAACAUGCCAUAGACUUUCCAAAGAGAGAAAGGAAUGUGUUACGUGGGUCAGUUUCCGAUCUACAACUUGAGCAGAACUUUCUUAGUAGUGACAAACAUUUGUGUAUAAAAUAAAAGGAACCACACGUAGUCCCCGAAAGGCCCCCUUUCUCCCCAUCCAGGGUCCACCGUACCUUGCAGCCUUCACAUGCGUGAACUCCGUAAUGGUAGCCCGAGGCUUUGUCCCCACAGAUUCUACACUCGAUGUUCAGUGCUACACUGGAUGAUUCCUCGGCGCUGCCAGGAACCACAGGGUAAGAGAUGGACGAGGGACUCGAGGCUGGUGAGAGGGUGUCUAGGAACACAAGGGGAAGAUUUACGAAUAUUCACAGCCUCGCCAUCCGAUGUCGAAACCAGCUUUCUGAGGACCUGAGUUCACGUGUGAGGCAUUUAGUGGGGAGGCAUCAGCUGGUGGGCAGGGCUCCCAUGCUGCAUCCACCCUGGCCUGGCCCUUGCACACCCUCUGUGCUCCCACAGUGACCACAUCGCCGGCAUCCCCGCAGCACCCACCCAAGGGGCUCCCCAACUGAGAAACAACUUUACUUUUUAAUCCAUAAAAAACAAAACAAAAUGGACUAAACCAUGGCCCUGCAGAAAAGGCCACUUUGCAAGUAGCCUUGUUCACACAAACGGUUACAGCAGCUUUAUUCCUUUCUUUUUUGGGCGGAGGCGGGGGAUACUAUUUUAUUAACAUUUAAACGUCACCAACAAUGAGCUCAAGUAUA
This is a long non-coding RNA of Globicephala melas (long-finned pilot whale), 5473 nucleotides long. RefSeq lists it as uncharacterized. The record is from RefSeq and is a predicted model, not a curated record. Lineage: Eukaryota; Metazoa; Chordata; Mammalia; Artiodactyla; Delphinidae.